CAGUAAAUAAUUUAAUUAAAAUAUUAAUUUUGGAGAUUAAAAAUAAGUGUAAGGCUUUUUACUGA
RNAcentral lists this transfer RNA (65 nucleotides) under Tholosanus proximus. RNAcentral's name for it is "tRNA-Pro". The record is from RNAcentral. Lineage: Eukaryota; Metazoa; Arthropoda; Insecta; Hemiptera; Pentatomidae.